Molecule: ribosomal RNA, 324 nt
Filed under: Salmonella enterica subsp. enterica serovar Anatum
Lineage: Bacteria; Pseudomonadati; Pseudomonadota; Gammaproteobacteria; Enterobacterales; Enterobacteriaceae
Description: bacterial SSU rRNA
Rfam family: Bacterial small subunit ribosomal RNA
Source: RNAcentral
CCGUAAACGAUGUCUACUUGGAGGUUGUGCCCUUGAGGCGUGGCUUCCGGAGCUAACGCGUUAAGUAGACCGCCUGGGGAGUACGGCCGCAAGGUUAAAACUCAAAUGAAUUGACGGGGGCCCGCACAAGCGGUGGAGCAUGUGGUUUAAUUCGAUGCAACGCGAAGAACCUUACCUGGUCUUGACAUCCACAGAAGAAUCCAGAGAUGGAUUUGUGCCUUCGGGAACUGUGAGACAGGUGCUGCAUGGCUGUCGUCAGCUCGUGUUGUGAAAUGUUGGGUUAAGUCCCGCAACGAGCGCAACCCUUAUCCUUUGUUGCCAGCG